GUCAGUUGUACUGGAAGAUGAUAAAUAAAUUCGUUGCUUUCCUUUUUCCCCUAGCUCCUUCGAGAACUCAUAGAACGGAAGACCAGCUCCUUGGAUCCCAACGAUCAGGUGGCCAUGGGAAGGCAGUGGCUUGCAAUCCAGAAGUUACGAAGCAAAAUCCACAAAAAAGUAGAUAGGAAAGCCAGCAAAGGCAGGAAACUUCGGACAGAACUGUACCGCUCUCUUUUUGGCCAGCUCCACCCUCCCAACGAAGGCCACGGGGAUUGACAUCGCCCACCUCCGACACCCAGUGGGCGCCUUGGCUGGUGCGGCUGCUGGUCCAGAUGGAGGAAACCAGUGACUUUAUGGGGCUGAGCUAGUAGGGAAGCCCCUGGGAAGGUGCUGCGUUCCGAACCUGUGCCUAAUACAUGCAAGGGCGCUGCCCCGCCCAACACCGCCUUUAAACGCCACAAAUAAAGAGCAUUGUUACCGCCA
Molecule: small RNA, 474 nt
Filed under: Pongo abelii (Sumatran orangutan)
Lineage: Eukaryota; Metazoa; Chordata; Mammalia; Primates; Hominidae
Description: retained intron
Source: RNAcentral